This 1177-nucleotide ribosomal RNA is filed under the name uncultured organism. RNAcentral's name for it is "bacterial SSU rRNA". It matches the Rfam family "Bacterial small subunit ribosomal RNA", at positions 202 to 1376 of the family's 1533-position model. The record is from RNAcentral.
CAAAGAUUUAUCGGCACGGGAGCGGCCUGUCUCCCAUCAGUUUGUUGGUGAGGUAACGGCUCACCAAGGCAGCGACGGGUAGCGGGACUGAGAGGUUGACCCGCAACAUCGGGACUGAGACACUGCCCGGACCUCCACGGAGGGCUGCAGUAACGAAUAUUGCGCAAUGGGCGAAAGCCUGACGCAGCGACGCCGCGUGUAGGAUGAAGUCCCUCGGGAUGUAAACUACUGUCAGGGGUUAGAAAGUCCGGUUCGCCGGAUUGAUCGGCCCCAGAGGAAGUCACGGCUAACUUCGUGCCAGCAGCCGCGGUAAUACGAAGGUGGCUAGCGUUGUUCGGUGUCACUGGGCUUAAAGCGUGUGUAGGCGGAAAAGAAAGCGUUUUGUGAAAGCCCCCGGCUUAACCGGGGAACUGCAAGACGAACUGCUUUUCUUGAGGCAAGCAGGGGUGCGUGGAACUCUUGGUGGAGCGGUGGAAUGCGUAGAUAUCAAGAGGAACGCCGGUGGUGAAGACGACGCACUGGGCUUGUCCUGACGCUGAGACACGAAAGCGUGGGGAGCGAACGGGAUUAGAUACCCCGGUAGUCCACGCCGUAAACGAUGUCUACUAGGUUGUGGGAGUUCUGACACUUUCACGGCCGAAGCAAAAGUGCUAAGUAGACCGCCUGGGGAGUACGGUCGCAAGGCUAAAACUCAAAGGAAUUGACGGGGGCUCACACAAGCGGUGGAGCAUGUGGAUUAAUUCGAAGCAACGCGCAGAACCUUACCUGGGUUUGACAUGCUUGGAUGGCUGCCUGGGAACAGGUUAGUCUGCCCUUCGGGGUGAAACUUGCACAGGUGCUGCAUGGCUGUCGUCAGCUCGUGUCGUGAGAUGUCGGGUUAAGUCCUUUAACGAGCGAAACCCUUGCCGUUUGUUGCCAGCGGGUAAUGCCGGGUACUCUAACGGGACUGCCGGUGUCAAACCGGAGGAAGGUGGGGACGACGUCAAGUCAUCAUGGCCUUUAUGCCCAGGGCCUCACACGUGCUACAAUGGCGGCGACAAAGCGACGCGAGACCGCGAGGUGGAGCAAAUCGCAAAAACGUCGCACUCAGUUCGAAUUGCAGGCUGGCAAUUCGCCUGCAUGAAGUUGGAAUCGCUAGUAAUCGCGUAUCAGCUAUGACGCGGUGAAUGUGUUCCUG